Non-coding RNA from Proteobacteria bacterium ST_bin13, 73 nucleotides. The record is from Rfam. NCBI's taxonomy places the organism in Bacteria, Pseudomonadati, Pseudomonadota.
GGGGCCGUAGCUCAGCUGGGAGAGCGCUGCGAUGGCAUUGCAGAGGUCUGGGGUUCGAUCCCCCACGGCUCCA